CCAAGCGUUGUUCGGAUUCAUUGGGCGUAAAGGGUGCGUAGGCGGCGCGGUAAGUCGGGUGUGAAAUCUCGGAGCUUAACUCCGAAACUGCAUUUGAUACUGCCGUGCUUGAGGACUGGAGAGGAGACUGGAAUUUACGGUGUAGCGGUGAAAUGCGUAGAUAUCGUAAGGAAGACCAGUGGCGAAGGCGGGUCUCUGGACAGUUCCUGACGCUGAGGCACGAAGGUCAGGGGAGCAAACGGG
RNAcentral lists this ribosomal RNA (243 nucleotides) under uncultured bacterium. RNAcentral describes it as "partial 16S ribosomal RNA". It matches the Rfam family "Bacterial small subunit ribosomal RNA", at positions 534 to 776 of the family's 1533-position model. The record is from RNAcentral.